AACUGGCCUGUGUAAGCGGAUGGGCUCGGCCUCAAGGACAGGGUGCUCGGCUGAAAAAAAAGCUAGCGGCGAUCACCGGUGCCAGGGCUCUCCAGAAACGGAGCCCAUCUAACCAAUGCCCAGCACACUCGCUCUGCUCCACACACGAGACCACCUCCGACCCGCACUAAGUUGGCCAACUGCACUCUGGAGGCGGCGGCAGCCAGCGAGGGAGAAGGGAAAGGCUGUCCCGGGACCCCGAGGAGGACUGCCCCGCCCCCGGGAACCGGGUGCGGCGUAAAACAACCCCGGCUCCGGGCCGACCCUUCCUGGCCCCUUGGAGGCCCAGGCGGGGCGGCGGGGGGCGACGCGGCAGGGGUCUCCGCGCCCAGGCUCCCGCGGAGCGGCCACACGUGGAGGUUCCCACUUUGGGGUCGCGGCCGCAGCAGCACCGGGCGGGAUGCUGUCCGCGCUGCCCGCGUACGGCCGCGGCCUGAGUGGAGACGCCUGCCCCCAGCCCCGAGGCCUCGGCCCCCGUCCGCCCUCUCUCCCUGCUCGGCGGCCUCGUACUCACGCUGACUUCAUGGCAGCAGGCUCCACGCCGCCCAAACGCGCAUGCGGGACGGCUGGCUGGCGAAGACUGCGGGACGUUAGGACCGGCAGCAAGAACUAGAACUUCGCGGCUAAGGCGCGGUGCUCUGCGAAGCCGGCGGCGACGCUAAGAGCCCAGGUGAGCUCCCGCCUGGCGCAUUUCAAACGGGCCAAUCAGCGCCCGUCCGCAGGGAGAGGCAGGACCUCCGCGGAAGUGACUUCGCUGCCGGAAGUGGCGCUUGUCUCCUAGGCGACCGACGCUGAAAGGGCCGCGGAGUCGCGUGUCAGGGCUGGAGGGAGAUCUUGAGAUCACUUCAAACUUAAGUGAGCUCAGGUUCAUCUGGAGGAUGACUCGGCCUCUGUUCUCUCGUCCCACCUGACGAGAAAUACCCACAGGUGUGGAGGGGCUGGCCCCCUUCACCUGGGUCUCGACUCCUGUUUUGUUCUGCGGUUCCCAUUGCAGUGCUGUGACCCCCCAGAAGCUCAGGAAAACAACUGACUUCCUGGUGUUGCCAACAGGCAGAGAGGAGAUGCAGCCAGUCCUUACCCUGUAGAAGAUGGGGAGGGAGUCCCAGGUGUACGGAUAAGCAAAGGCGAGGACACGAAUCACCUUACAGAGUCUGGGCUUCUGGAUUUCAAGAAACCUAAAUCAGGGAAGGAAAGUGGGGAGGAAAUGGAAUGAAAAGAGUCUCAGCAAAUUGCAUACGCACAUGCAUGCACACCGAGGGCCUGGUCAUCAACAGAGGACAAGCAUUUUUCUACAAGCUCCUGUGGCCAGCAGCUUCUCCACCAGCCUCGUCCAUUCCUCCCACCCCAAUGGAAGUGACAAAACUUCAGAUGCAAAAAGAUCUCCAGGGACACCAUCUCCUGACCAUGGGAAGCAGUGGUGUCCAGACUAAGCCAGAAAGGAGGCGCUGGGCAGAAACCCUUCAAGGGCCAAGUUAUGUAACUGCCAAAGAACCUUUUAAAACUCUAGUUGCUACAGGGACAGGGAACGGGUAGGGGGAAUCGGGGGAUCCACUGCCACAGACUCUUGGGGGGCACACUCUGCAGAGGCUGAGAUGCACCCAUCUAGUUGGAGCCCAGGUAUUAUCAUGCAGGAGACCUGGGUUCAAGUAGGUGUUUGACCCUUGGAGAGCUUUCUGGAAUAUUUAUACCACACACAGGGAUACUUGGCUUGGGAAAACUAAAUAAACGUGAAGUCUUUC
Homo sapiens (human) is the source of this 1778-nucleotide long non-coding RNA. Ensembl annotates it as KIF23 and PAQR5 antisense RNA 1. Its record names the gene KIF23-AS1. The record is from Ensembl. NCBI's taxonomy places the organism in Eukaryota, Metazoa, Chordata, Mammalia, Primates, Hominidae.